Molecule: unclassified non-coding RNA, 380 nt
Filed under: soil metagenome
Description: partial contains 5.8S ribosomal RNA, internal transcribed spacer 2, and large subunit ribosomal RNA
Rfam family: 5.8S ribosomal RNA (bases 1-120)
Source: RNAcentral
GAUGAAGAACGUAGUGAAAUGCGAUAAGUAAUGUGAAUUGCAGAAUUCAGUGAAUCAUCGAAUCUUUGAACGCACCUUGCGCUCCUUGGUAUUCCGAGGAGCAUGCCUGUUUGAGUGUCAUUAAUAUAUCAACCUCUUCAGCUUAUGCUUGUUGAGUGUUGGAUGGUGGGGGUUUGCUGGUGUCUUAUGAAGUCAGCUCCUCUGAAAUGCAUUAGCGGAACAAUUUGUUGACCGUUCAUUGGUGUGAUAAAAAUAUCUACGCUAUUGACGUCAGUCAGUUCAGCUUCUAACAGUCCAUUGACUUGGACAAAUUUUUCAUUAAUGUGACCUCAAAUCAGGUAGGACUACCCGCUGAACUUAAGCAUAUCAAUAGCGGAGGA